Molecule: non-coding RNA, 2023 nt
Organism: Paralichthys olivaceus (Japanese flounder)
Lineage: Eukaryota; Metazoa; Chordata; Actinopteri; Pleuronectiformes; Paralichthyidae
Source: RefSeq, a predicted model, not a curated record
AUAAACCUAUGAACUCACACAUAUAAGACACAUUUAUAUUUGAUAUAGUCUGGAUUUCUUGGCGUGCAGUGCCUCGAUGUGUAUUUGUUAACAAUCCAGGGAACAGCAUCCCCGCACAAAUCAGUAGAGCUACCAGACAGUAUUUGGUUUGACUUCACGUGCACUGUUUUAUGUCAAUAUGGACACACUCAUACCUUCUGUGAUGUGACAUAAUUUGGAUGAUUUAUUCUUUUGUAGUAAUGGAGACAGACGACCAGCUUCAAAUGGAGGAAUAGCCCACAGACCCUCAGCCAGCCGACCUCCGCCGGGAGGAGGACGACCCAAACCUGCCCCCAAACCCAAACCGCAGGUGCCGCAGUGCAAAGCUCUGUACGCCUACGAUGCUCAGGACACAGACGAGCUCAGCUUCAACGCUGACGAUCUGAUCGACAUCAUCAGAGAGGAUGCAUCAGGAUGGUGGAUGGGACGACUUCGUGGAAAGCAGGGACUUUUCCCCAACAACUACGUCACCAAGGUCUAAGAGCUGCAGGUUUACAGCACAGGGAGGAGGGAGCCUGCUGCGUCCCCGCCGACCCUCUCAGGCGACGGCAUGGAGACAGAAGCACUGCGAGAUUCCCUGAGAAGAGAAACUCAAUCUUCCUCCACUUUCUGCCGCGUGGUGAAUGAGGGUAACCCUCAGUUAUGCCACCAGACCAAAAGACCGUCAGGAUCGACAGCGAGGCUCCGCUUUAAAGACAAGAACACUGUUUGACCCAGGGGUCUGUUUCCCUCCACAGUCCCUUUGAGUAAUGAACAAAAACUAUUUAUUGUAUUUAUAGCUUUCUGUGUUCUCCUCGCUGCCAUUUAUACUCUUGCAGAGGAUUUGAGCUCAAACGUUUUUCAAGCGCUGGAAUGAAGUAUGCUUUAUCUGUGGGACCAGGCUGUGAUUUAUUUUUAUUUUUCAACAUGUCGUCUUUCGAUGAAGGUGUGAUCGCUGAAGCACAGACGGGUCGUCUCGGUGUCAGAGCUGCAGAGACGGCUGUUUUACCAGGUUUUAUUUAUUUUUAUGCAAAGCUGUAACUGCUUCCUCGGGAAAGGACGUUCAGUAAAUCACCACACUGUGUUUUAAUGAUUUUACCAAAGGAAUAUAAAUUUGAACAGGUCUGUCUGAGGGCAGCGUGGUGACUCACCUGGAAAAACCACCUUCAUCUUUGUUGUUUUUUUGUUUUUCUAUCACACCAGUAUACUUAACAUACAGAGUCGAGGCCAUACUGUAACCUGAGCAUGCUGUCUGUGGUGUAUUAGCACUUUAUUGGUACAGGUACUACCUUUGGAUACAGACACCGUCACUCGUUCAUGCCACAGCCAGUAAGUUUAGUCUAUGAAGGACAGGUUGCCAAGCUAAAGCAAUAAGCCCAGUUACUGAGCAGAAUAAGUUGUUUACAUGAAAUGAUAAAAACCAAACAGGUGUCGUGGAGCUGAUUCUGUAUAUGUGUUCAUAUUUAGGAACGUGCCUGUCGUUGGUUAGAUUUUAAAUUAUUGUUUUUGUAUUUUCUCUGAAGGAUCUUAGUAUUCUAGUUAUUUUUCCUGCUUUUGAUAUUUACAGAGGGCUGCUUUGUUUCCAUUUCAGCUACAAAUAGAUAAUAAUAGUUAUCACACACGAGGGUGAAUGGAUUUUUGUUUUGUCAAGUUGUUUUGGUAGAAAGAAAAGAGUUGUUAACAUUUUUCCAUGGCACUACAAAGAAUUCCUUUUGCUUCUGCUUGAUUGUUUCUGCACAUCCUUUGCACUGCUGUUGAAUUACUCACACAUUCCUUUAGUCAUUUGUUUUUAUUUUAUUUUAAUUGAAUAACCACAUUAUACUCGAGUCAGUAAAAAGAAAUGCUGGGACUUCUGUCAUAGAUCCUCUGCAUCAUCAAAUAUAGUUUGAUCUUGGAUGGUUUAAAACAUCCUUGUGCAAUACAAAAACAGUAGAUGAGUCUCUAAAUGAAGCAUGUAAUAUUGUAUAUUGAACUGCUUUUUUGUUUUAUUAAAAAGAUCAUUAAA